RNAcentral lists this ribosomal RNA (451 nucleotides) under Salmonella enterica. RNAcentral's name for it is "bacterial SSU rRNA". It matches the Rfam family "Bacterial small subunit ribosomal RNA", at positions 1 to 450 of the family's 1533-position model. Lineage: Bacteria; Pseudomonadati; Pseudomonadota; Gammaproteobacteria; Enterobacterales; Enterobacteriaceae. The record is from RNAcentral.
AAAUUGAAGAGUUUGAUCAUGGCUCAGAUUGAACGCUGGCGGCAGGCCUAACACAUGCAAGUCGAACGGUAGCACAGAGAGCUUGCUCUCGGGUGACGAGUGGCGGACGGGUGAGUAAUGUCUGGGAAACUGCCCGAUGGAGGGGGAUAACUACUGGAAACGGUAGCUAAUACCGCAUAACGUCGCAAGACCAAAGUGGGGGACCUUCGGGCCUCACACCAUCGGAUGUGCCCAGAUGGGAUUAGCUAGUAGGUGGGGUAACGGCUCACCUAGGCGACGAUCCCUAGCUGGUCUGAGAGGAUGACCAGCCACACUGGAACUGAGACACGGUCCAGACUCCUACGGGAGGCAGCAGUGGGGAAUAUUGCACAAUGGGCGCAAGCCUGAUGCAGCCAUGCCGCGUGUAUGAAGAAGGCCUUCGGGUUGUAAAGUACUUUCAGCGAGGAGGAAG